This 83-nucleotide transfer RNA is filed under the name Sphaerodactylus townsendi. RNAcentral describes it as "tRNA-Ala". The record is from RNAcentral. Lineage: Eukaryota; Metazoa; Chordata; Lepidosauria; Squamata; Sphaerodactylidae.
GCCAGUUUCAUUUUUGGCUCAGUGGUAGAGCAUUUGGUUGGCAUGCAGAGGGCCCUGGGUUUAAUCCUCGGCAACUCCAGGUA